RNAcentral lists this unclassified non-coding RNA (404 nucleotides) under fungal sp. RNAcentral's name for it is "partial internal transcribed spacer region". The stretch from base 1 to 46 matches the Rfam family "Eukaryotic small subunit ribosomal RNA", at positions 1786 to 1831 of the family's 1831-position model. The record is from RNAcentral. Lineage: Eukaryota; Fungi.
AAGUCGUAACAAGGUUUCCGUAGGUGAACCUGCGGAAGGAUCAUUAACACGUAUCCAAACGUUAACCCCCCUGUGAACCUUUAGUGUGCUCGUACGCUUUGUCAGAGCGUGGCAAUCCCUAGUAAAUCAUCGCCGAACAGUUUUCGAUUUAGGGACUUCCACAAAGAGUGUGCUCGUAGCGCGAGGCAAGUGGCCUGGCAUUCCCAAGCAGUUGGUGUCUGAAAGUGUCACUGGCUGUGUAAGGAUGGCGCAGUCACGAUCGUUGGAGGUCGACACGGCCGACGACCGGGUCACCGGGCUCACGCCCCUUAAUCACAACUUAAUGCAUGUCAGACGCGCCUGCGCUUAAUUGUGCGGCGACCAUAAAACUCGAACAACUGUUAACAAUGGAUAUCUUGGUUCUC